UACGUAGGGGGCAAGCGUUGUCCGGAUUCACUGGGCGUAAAGAGCUCGUAGGCGGCUUGGCAAGUCGGGUGUGAAAACUCCAGGCUCAACCUGGAGACGCCACCCGAUACUGCCAUGGCUAGAGUCCGGUAGGGGACCACGGAAUUCCUGGUGUAGCGGUGAAAUGCGCAGAUAUCAGGAGGAACACCGGUGGCGAAGGCGGUGGUCUGGGCCGGAACUGACGCUGAGGAGCGAAAGCGUGGGGAGCGAACAGG
This 254-nucleotide ribosomal RNA is filed under the name uncultured bacterium. Its description in RNAcentral is "partial 16S ribosomal RNA". It matches the Rfam family "Bacterial small subunit ribosomal RNA", at positions 524 to 776 of the family's 1533-position model. The record is from RNAcentral.